Molecule: long non-coding RNA, 547 nt
Organism: Carya illinoinensis
Lineage: Eukaryota; Viridiplantae; Streptophyta; Magnoliopsida; Fagales; Juglandaceae
Exons: 3
Source: RefSeq, a predicted model, not a curated record
UCUAUGGAUUUUUGACAACCACUAGUGUCUCUCUAAGUUCUUGCAUUUUCUUUCAUUUACUCACAAGCCAAACACCACCAUUUUUGCAUACCACCUAGGAACCACUCACUAUCUUUCAAGUAGGAGUUCGUCUCUUGAAGAUUUUUGCUACUAUUAAUCGUUGGACUUUUUUGUGACAGGUGCUCUAGAUCCUAUAGAAUCAUGAACUUAGAUGGCUCCAUGUUAGAGGACGAGUAUACCGUGGAGGGUCGUCAUUCCUUUACGACAUAUGUUUUGAAGUAUACAGCCUCAUUUUUUAGGGAGAUACUAGUUAGCAUUAGUGAUUCUAAGAUUGAUUCUACAAUUACCAGCUCACAGGGGGUUUAUUGGUGUUUGACUCCGGAUGGGGCCGUGGUGAUGAGGAACAUGAGAUCUUAAGACCUUUUGAUAGAAAGACUAUGACUUGUGGUUUAUUUUGAAAAUAGUAUUUUAAUGGUCCCUUUGUCUUGGUAGUUGUUUUAAAACAAUUAUCUAUUUUUGAGAAGUUUAGUUAUGGAAGUUUACAUUU